Molecule: ribosomal RNA, 28 nt
Filed under: Aspergillus flavus
Lineage: Eukaryota; Fungi; Ascomycota; Eurotiomycetes; Eurotiales; Aspergillaceae
Description: partial 18S ribosomal RNA
Source: RNAcentral
GAAGGAUCAUUACCGAGUGUAGGGUUCC